Molecule: ribosomal RNA, 506 nt
Filed under: uncultured bacterium
Lineage: Bacteria
Description: partial 16S ribosomal RNA
Rfam family: Bacterial small subunit ribosomal RNA
Source: RNAcentral
GACGAACGCUGGCGGCGUGCUUAACACAUGCAAGUCGAACGGUGAAGGGACUGGUUUUGCUGGUCCUGGAUGAGUGGCGAACGGGUGAGUAACACGUGAGUAACCUUCCCCCUUCUUCUGGAUAACCGCAUGAAAGUGUGGCUAAUACGGGAUAUUCUGGGUCUGUCGCAUGGUGGGCCUGGGAAAGAUUGCGCCUUUUUUGGUGUUUUUGGUGGGGGAUGGGCUCGCGGCCUAUCAGCUUGUUGGUGGGGUGAUGGCCUACCAAGGCGGUGACGGGUAGCCGGCCUGAGAGGGUGGACGGGCACACUGGGACUGAGACACGGCCCAGACUCCUACGGGAGGCAGCAGUGGGGAAUAUUGCACAAUGGGCGCAAGCCUGAUGCAGCGACGCCGCGUGAGGGAUGGAGGCCUUCGGGUUGGGAACCUCUUUCGCCAGUGAAGCAGGCCUGCCUCUUUUUGUGAGUGGGUUGACGGUAGCUGGAUAAGAAGCGCCGGCUAACUACGUG